GGCAAGAUGGCCGAGUGGUUAUGGCGUGUGACUCAAGGAUUCUUUCCUUACUCGGCUUAGCUGAGGAGUAUUCUCAUGGGCUCUGCCCGCGGGGGUUCGAAUCCCCCUCUUGUCA
RNAcentral lists this transfer RNA (115 nucleotides) under Piedraia hortae CBS 480.64. It matches the Rfam family "tRNA". Rfam says of the family: Transfer RNA (tRNA) molecules are approximately 80 nucleotides in length. Their secondary structure includes four short double-helical elements and three loops (D, anti-codon, and T loops). The record is from Rfam by way of RNAcentral. Lineage: Eukaryota; Fungi; Ascomycota; Dothideomycetes; Capnodiales; Piedraiaceae.